GAUGAACGCUGGCGGCGUGCCUAACACAUGCAAGUCGAGCGAACAGACCAGGAUUUUGCUCCUCUGACGUUAGCGGCGGAGGGGUGAGUCACAUGUGUAUAACCUACUUAUAGGACUGGGAUAAUUUCGGGAAACCGGCGCUAAUACCGGAUAACAUGUUGAACCGCGUUGUUCAACCGUGAAAGACGGUCUUGCUGGCAGUAAUGGCUGGAUACGCGCAGCAUGAGCUAGUUGUUAAGGUAACGGAUUACCAAGGCAACGAGGCGUAGACGACCUCAGAGGGUGGUAGGCUACAUGGGAAGUGAGACAGGGUCCCGACGCCUGCGGUAGGCAGCAGUCGGGAAUCUUCCGCAAUGGGCGAGAGCCGGACGGAGCAACGUGGCGGGAGUGAAGAAGGUGCUCGGAUCGGAAAGCUCUGUUAGUAGUGAAGAACAAAUGUGUAAGUAGCUAUGCAGGUAUUGACGGUACCUGAUCAAGAAGCCACGGCUAACUACGUG
Molecule: ribosomal RNA, 497 nt
Filed under: uncultured bacterium
Lineage: Bacteria
Description: partial 16S ribosomal RNA
Rfam family: Bacterial small subunit ribosomal RNA
Source: RNAcentral